CGGCGGACGGGUGAGUAACGCGUGGGUAACCUGCCUCAUACAGGGGGAUAACAGUUAGAAAUGACUGCUAAUACCGCAUAAGACCACAGCACCGCAUGGUGCGGGGGUAAAAACUCCGGUGGUAUGAGAUGGACCCGCGUCUGAUUAGCUGGUUGGUAAGGUAACGGCUUACCAAGGCGACGAUCAGUAGCCGACCUGAGAGGGUGACCGGCCACAUUGGGACUGAGACACGGCCCAAACUCCUACGGGAGGCAGCAUG
Molecule: ribosomal RNA, 259 nt
Filed under: uncultured bacterium
Lineage: Bacteria
Description: partial 16S ribosomal RNA
Rfam family: Bacterial small subunit ribosomal RNA
Source: RNAcentral